Molecule: ribosomal RNA, 492 nt
Filed under: uncultured bacterium
Lineage: Bacteria
Description: partial 16S ribosomal RNA
Rfam family: Bacterial small subunit ribosomal RNA
Source: RNAcentral
AGUGAACGCUGGCGGUAGGCCUAACACAUGCAAGUCGAACGGCAGCACAGUAAGAGCUUGCUCUUACGGGUGGCGAGUGGCGGACGGGUGAGGAAUACAUCGGAAUCUACUUUUUCGUGGGGGAUAACGUAGGGAAACUUACGCUAAUACCGCAUACGACCUACGGGUGAAAGCAGGGGAUCUUCGGACCUUGCGCGAUUGAAUGAGCCGAUGUCGGAUUAGCUAGUUGGCGGGGUAAAGGCCCACCAAGGCGACGAUCCGUAGCUGGUCUGAGAGGAUGAUCAGCCACACUGUAACUGAGACACGUUCCAGACUCCUACGGGAGGCAGCAGUGGGGAAUAUUGGACAAUGGGCGCAAGCCUGAUCCAGCCAUACCGCGUGGGUGAAGAAGGCCUUCGGGUUGUAAAGCCCUUUUGUUGGGAAAGAAAAGCAGCAGGUUAAUACCCCGCUGUUCUGACGGUACCCAAAGAAUAAGCACCGGCUAACUUCGUG